This 107-nucleotide small nucleolar RNA is filed under the name Helianthus annuus (common sunflower). RNAcentral's name for it is "Plant small nucleolar RNA R71". It matches the Rfam family "Plant small nucleolar RNA R71". Rfam says of the family: R71 is a member of the C/D box family of snoRNAs containing the C (UGAUGA) and D (CUGA) box motifs. The record is from RNAcentral. Lineage: Eukaryota; Viridiplantae; Streptophyta; Magnoliopsida; Asterales; Asteraceae.
AAACCAUGAUGUGGAUAUUUCUUGAUUAACUCUUUGAAUCUUUCCCAAGCUUCAGAUAGCAUCUCAUCUUCUUUUUGUUCGAAAGAUCGAGUGUCACUUCGGCGUUU